Long non-coding RNA from Corythoichthys intestinalis (scribbled pipefish), 7478 nucleotides. RefSeq lists it as uncharacterized. The record is from RefSeq and is a predicted model, not a curated record. Lineage: Eukaryota; Metazoa; Chordata; Actinopteri; Syngnathiformes; Syngnathidae. The transcript is spliced from 4 exons.
GCAAAUGCUUUUGGCCAGUUCUGUAAUUAUCUCAUCAGCAUCAUCCAGCAAAAGUAUUUACCGGUACUCAUUUGAUCACAGUUUAUAAGAUCAGAUGUCCGUUGAGCAGAUUAGUUGCAUCAGUCACAUGCCCGCCUCUUACCUUUCUACCUGGUUGCAUGGGCAAAUUCACAAGUGGUGUACUUUUCUAAACUAUGUGUUUCGCCUACUGUCAAAUUAGAAGAGAAAUUACAAUAAAUUGCGCAGUGGAUUAACAAGAUCAUAGGUCAAGACGGCUGCCAGAUUGAAGCAACCAGCGACCGGCCAAAGGGGGGGUGGGUUCAGGACAUCACCUAAUCAUGAGAUCAUUGCACCUCCGGAGGAGGGGCCAGUGCCGCUGUGGCCCCACCCCUAAAAUUACAACAGCUCAUAACGCAGUAGAGAAUUGUACUCGUGCAGUCCUCCUCCGUUCUCCUCCUGAGCUGAAAAAAAGAGUCUAAACUCCAUCAAUUGGUGAAGUUUUGGUUCCGAGACUCUACGCACUCUGACUGCAAUAUUUCAUUGGCCGGACAACACCCUUGUGACCAAGCACCACCAUCAUUGGAUUUUUCCAUUUCAUCGCUACUUACCUGCAACAUACUGCAAGUCCCGCAGAAGAUUUGAGUGGUUUCCUGAACUAAUCUACAGCAGAUCGCUGAAUGGGAGAAAGAGACUGACUUCUACACAGCACCAUUGGUCUUUGUGACAGUCCUCAAAAGAAAAUGAACAGAGCUCAGAUGGGCGGGCCAAACGCGGUACCACGUGGGAGAGUGCACCCCAAUGACAACAGGGACAGCGGAUGGUUUGCUUUUACACAAUGGAAUAUUCUCAGUCUACUGAUUCUCGCGAUAGCCAUCAUAGUUUGGCCACUCGUCCUGACCCAUGACAAGUGGGAAAGCGUACACGAUAAUCACCAACAAUUAAGUAAUUUGACCACAAUUGCUAUUAACGCUCUUUAUGAGCAACUUCACAACGCUACCACAAUGGCUGAACAAAACCGUGUUAUCAUCGAUCUGCUUUUGGGCAGAAGAGAGAAAGUGUGUGCCAGGUUUAUAAACAUUUGCACAGCACAAUUGGCGGAAGAGACUCAGAUGGCUUGAAGUUCUGCCCUUUAACCACAAUUAAACCCCUAUUUUCUGGGGGAGGAAAAUUUUUGAACAGGAAGGCAUUUUUGACACCUUGAAAGUAGAUCAAAUCAGGCGAGUAAAAAUUAGCCUCUUUUAGAAGAAAAUAAAUCAUUUAAGCAUCUAAUGUAUCGACAAUAUGUAUAUCAUUCCACAAUAAGCAAUACAAAUGGCAACACAGGUCGAAAAGAUAAUGGAUAGCAUGCUAGUCAUUUUGCCUGCUGUGUUCGUAAUUUUUCUUGCGCUAGCGUUUGACUUCAACGUAUGUCUGAAAAAAUGUAGCACGUGCUACAUUUCUGAUAUCUUGUUGCCCGAUGAAAUGUGCGUGGAAUUAAAAACUCUCGGAUUUCAACUAGAUACUAUUGCAUACCUAUCUUGUUUCAAUCCAAAAACUACUUGUAGCAUGUAUUAGCAAGAGUAAAGGCAUAGUUGUGAAUGGCCAAAACGAGUGGUCGAGAUUUUUUCAAAUAUUUUUUUUUUUAAAGUUUUUUUAUUUUUCAUCUUUUGGAUCGGAAUAUGUUAUCAUCUAAAAUAUCGGGAAAAUGAGAACGUAAAAAAACAUUUUUUUUUGCAAGCGCCUGACAGGGGAAGAGCUAACCACCAAAUGUUCCAGUCACACCUUCUUAUCUGUAUAUAAGGAAGACUGUACUCUCUGCUUAUUGCGCAUUUUUCCAUGCAGCUCGUCCUGUCACUAAAUGUGCCCAGAAAUUUUUGCAAUUAAAACUGCGUAGUAUUGAUCUCUUGCCUCCAGUCUUCAUUUAACAAUCCAGUCUAGCCGUCUCACCUGAACUAAAAAACGAACAUGCGGACGACCGGAAAGACUGCCUCCAACAAUAUAUACAUAUAUUUAUAUAUACAGUAUGUGUGUAUAAACAAGUUUUCUAAAAGAGAAAAAUAUGGGCGGCGCCAUCUUGGAAAAUGUCUGCUCCGAACUUCCUGUUCAGAAAAAACAUCAUUUGUUACGGUUGAAGUAAGCAGUGUGUUGACAAAGUUAAAACUGCAAAAUCAAACCAGAGGAAGCCACGGAAUCUCCAAAAAUGGAUUCAGCACGACGUAGCUGACACUCUGAGACGUUCUGUGCUGUGCUUGAAUUCCUGGAAGCGCCUAUAUAUGCAUAUAAGUGAAAUGUUUCGAAGAGCAUCCAGCUUCAAAGCGCCAGUGUGGAUUUAAACUUAAUGAUAUACCUAAAAGAUUGUAUGAUUGUUCUUAACACUUCAUUGAUAUUCGUGGACAAAAUUAUAGCAACCUGUCAGCCUGUGUUGACGUGAGGUGUAGAUUGAUACGCCGGCCACUUGAGGGACCCAAAUGAGGUGAAAUUACAAAUAAUAUUACAUUUGCCGAACGUAGAAGGGCUAUCACGGAUUUUGUUGAUACAAGAAAAUACUACAAGGUAUGUACAUAUAAACAAAAAUAGUACGUCAUUCUUUUUUAUUGCAGAUAUUGAUCGCAGUAAAACAUUUGGACAACAUGAGCCUCCCCUCAUCAAAGUAGAACGCACGUAGUCUCGAUAUUUGUCCAUCGACGUACAGUAAGGGUUGUUGUGAGGCACAUCAAUUUGUCUUCCCUUGCCUAACAGUGUUUUCUGCCUGUAAACAAACAAAAAAACUUGUAUCACUUGCAUUUAUGCGUUUACAUAAAUGUGCCAUCCGAAAUGUACUGAUUAGCAACAGGCUAGCAGCAGAUAGAAUGUGUUGAAGCAAGAUUUAAGAUUUAGUAUUUUUUGAGCAUCGGACAGAUGAAAAUGCAGGGAUAGGAAGAACAUACCUUCCAUAACACAGCAGCAACAAUGCUACAAAAACACACGGUCUUUGUGGUGGCACAAGCUUGGUUCCACAUCUGCCUUCAUGAACACAUUGUCCUCCCCUGUCGUGAUGAUGGGAGAUGGAUGCGAUAUUUCCAAAUUGUCUCUUUUAAGGGAUUUUGAUAAGUAAUGUUACUCCAGCUCCACUGUUGUUUUGAAUGGAGAAAUUCUAAAAUGAAAGUUGCUUGCAGACAUGUAGAAGUAAAGCGGAAGUACCUCGGAAACUUGUCUAUACCAUGAAGCGAUAGUUAUGAGGUAGAUACAGUAUCUGUGACCUAUUUACAGACGUAAUUUGUUGAAAACACAAGAGUGAAUAACUUUUUAAAGUAAUUUUUCUUUCUAAAACUAAAUAAUCGACAUCAAUAGACCCUACCCACGUGACGUCACAACUCCUUCCUCCUGACUGGUGCCGCCCAAUUGUCCGUCAACACAUCAUGUUUACCUGUUACGGCUACGUACAUUCCUCCUAUUUACGACGUGUUUUUCUGCUUGUUAACAUUAAUAAUCAAAAUGGUGAAGGCGUGUGUGGCGGUCGGUUGCAAUAACAGAGAAGAUAGACGGAGAAGACGGAGAGACUUGAAGUUCUACCGGAUUCCGAGAGACCCCGGAGAGAAGAGAGCGAGAUGGGCUGCUGCAAUUCGACGAGAAAACUGGGCUCCAAACGAUUACCACAGAUUAUGUAGUAGUCAUUUUAUAUCUGGUAAGAUGCAUUUAAUAUAUAUUUAGAGGGUUUUGGGCUGACAACCACAAUUAAGAUCAUUGCUAGGCUAAUCGCCGACAACAUACACGUAUGUAUGUAGUGAGAGUGCUCUCGCUAAAUCAUAUAAACAUUAAAAGCCCUAACUCCAUUGACAAACGACAUGAAAUACAUUAGACUUGACAGUGGAUGUUAGCAAUAACAAAAGAUUUUGAAUUGAAAAUUUCGUAACUCACCUUUCCAAGCACAAGAUAGAUUCCUGUCGAAUUUUCGUGGACGAGGACCUGUUUCACCCAACCAGCAACGAAGUAUUGAAAGCCUCCAAGCUCUUAAAGUUUUUCAAACUUUCGUGAGAACAGGCUGAUUUUGUGUGGACAAGAUAGUUGUACAUAUCAGGGUAGCUAGCAGAUGUCAGGCAAAUACGGUGGAGACAGCGGGUCGAAAAACAUCGAUUUAGGCAUCAAAUAUGGAUCUGGCGAAUGGAUAAACUGAAGCUUUUCCACAUAACGCCUUUUAUGCAACGCAUCAAGUGAGUUUACGGCAUCCGAAAGCACCGGGUCUUCCAUGAAAUGCAUUAUAAAUUGCUCGAUCAAUUGAGACCAUUGAUAAUGCAGACACAAAAUGACGGACAAGGGGGCGGAACCAUACAGCGAGCACGUGAUUUUGUGACGUCGGUGGGUAGGGUGUAUAAUCGAGUCCAAGCUAAAAAUAACAGGUAAUUUGGAAAUGUAAUUCCUUACCUUCUAUGGCUGGGUUGAAACAAAAGCUGUUGCGAUGUGUCUGUAAAUGUGGGUCUCAAGGGUAAAUGGACCAAUUAAAAAUAGUCCCCAGGUAUACUGCGCGAUGAAACCGCUAUGGCAACAUCUAGAUUAAUGCUGUCAAAUUUAUCGCGUUAACGGGUGGUAAUUAAUUUUUUAAAUUAAUCACGUUAAAAUAUUUGCCGCAUUUAACGCAUGCGCGGAAUGACCCGCUCAUGCAUUGCUUCAAACAAAUUACAAUGACGCCGUUUUUUGCACAUUGAGAGCUGAGGCAGAGAAAGGUGUCUUGUUUUGUGCUUUUUCUUAACAAAGGUAUACCACACGUUGUCACGUCCCGGACAUCUUGUUAAUGUUUUUUGUCAGUUCAUGUCAGAUUCUUUUAUUUUGGUAGUUGCGUGCCUCCUUGGGCUAACUUUACUUCCUGCUCUUGCCAAUCAGGCUGAUCAUGUCCACCUGUGACCCUCUGUAUAAAUAGCCUGCUUCAACCUUGCUCUGUGUCGGUUUGUCUGUUAUCCUGCCACGUCCUAUGCCACAUCCUUGUGUAAGCCCUUUUUUGAUCACGAUUCAUGUUUUUGAACCCAUGCCUUUUUGUUUCUUGAAGAAGUAACUCAGUUUAUUGAUGUCCAGCUGUUGCUGUGAAUUUUGGUUGAUUGAUGUCCAGCUGUUGCUGUGAAUUUUUGUUAACCUUUUUUGAACUCUACUAAUUGGAGAAUAAACACUCUGUUUGAGCCCAACUAUCGAGCAUUUGGGUCCUUGGUGCAUCCCUGUCACACGUGAAGUGCUUGCACUUUGUUUCUUUAUUAGCACACUCAGCUUCAACCUUAGGGCUCUCGGCAGGCCGUAACUCUAACUCACUCCUGCAUCAUGUGAGUUGACAACAUUGGCGCCGCGUGCACUUGAGGGUGCCUCUGAUAAUUCUAUAUCAGAACAUUACAAAAGGCGAGUGGACACAGGCGUUCAUUGGACCGCGCAGUUUAGUGGCAUAAGCUUCGGUAACUCCUUCACAACAAACAUAAGUAUCAUUUAGUGAAAACAAAACAAAAAUAACAUCUCUCUCUCAAAAAAAAAAAAAAUAAUAAUGAUAAUGUUCACAAAAAGAAAAGUGCUGCAAUCUGUAUUAAUGAGGCCCUAUUCUCACACAGUUAAACAACAGUGCAAAGAAAACUGACAUUCCCAAUCUAAAUAGCUAUGCAAAAUACACAUAAAACUUACUCAGACUUUGGUCAAACUCUAUUCAAACAUUUCGUUUAGUUCAACAAAUACACUGGAUGGCAAUAUUUAGUCACAAUAUACAAACUAUAAGAGAUCUCGUACGUUGUGAAGCCAGCACUCAAAUGACCGUGAUGGACCAGUAAACAGGGAACUACGGUGUCAGUCCAGGGACAAAACACACUCAUUGGCUUGAUUUCUAAGUAAUUUAAAACUUGCCAUUGACACCUUGUGGUGUAUUUCAGUCACUACCUUAUGUAGUUAAAGAUACUGUGGAAGAACGGCAGGGAGCCCAUGUGACAUCACCACUCGGCGACGUCAACAAUGGCGAGCUACUAGUUUAUUUUUUGAUUGAAAAUUUUACAAAUGUUGUUAAAACGAAAACAUUAAUAGGGGUAUUAAUAUAAAAUUACUAUAACUUGUACUAACAUUUAUCUUUUAAGAACUCCCUGGAGCUUGGACCCCUUUAACAGAAAAAAAUGUUAAUAAUGUUAAUGCUAUCUUGUGGAUUUAUAGUCAUGAUAAACAAAUACAGUACUUGUGUACAGUAUGUUGAAUGUAUAUAUCCGUCUUGUGUCUUAUCUUUCCAUUCCAACAAUAAUUUACAGAAAAAUAUGGCAUAUUUUAGAGAUGGUUUGAAUUGCGAUUAAUUACGAUUAAUAAAUUUUAAAGCUGUGAUUAACUCGAUUAAAAAUUUUAAUCGUUUGACAGCCCUAAAAACAUAUUGUUCUAUCAAACAAAACAAUUAUUUGGGAUAAAAUACAGUAGUUUAUUUAAAAGGCUGUUGCAAGGACAAAAACGGCUUUUUCAGCCUUGUGUGUUUUCAGCUAUACUAAAACAUGGCACUGAUGAGGGCCGUAAAUGAUUAUGUUUUGGGAAAUACAACGUUUUGGUAUCCUCGAUGAUUGUCUCUGUUACUAGAGUAAUUGCUGUUUUUGUCACCUAUGGAGGCUGUUGUAUUCCAUGCAUGCGUGUUGUGGUGAAAACUGAUAAAGGGAAAAGUGAGCCUCCUCCGUAUCAAAUGAUGGCCACUUGCGUUGCUGGAAAAUGAUGGUGAAAUUUAUGUUGAUGUAAAGUAGAUGGUGUAAAGUGUGCGUGGGAUGUUUUUUUCUAUUAAUUACUUUAUUUUUACCAAUCUAAUCACACCUAAUUUUGAGUAUUCUUCAUGUUUUACUUUUUUGCAACUCAUUGCAUUUUGUUUUUAUAGUUAUACUCUACUUAAUCACCUUUUGAUUCAUUUAUUCAUUCACUUUUAUACAUUUUUUCAUAAGACAUUUACAGUCAUUUAUAUUUUACUCUUAUAUACUCACUUUUUUUUUUGGGGAGUUUGCGUUUUUGGUUAUUUUGAUUUUAGAUUGAUUAGCAACUUGUGUUGAAAUUAUUGUGCAUACAGUUAACAUUUAUGCUUUCCUUAUUAUAGUUAGGAUAACUUCUGUCUAGUCAGCCUUUUCUUUGUGCUGAGCCAUGUGGCCCCCAUGUAGUCUAUGUAUUCUAUUCUGUGUUCUAUGUUGCUUUCCUGCCCCUCCCGUCCUUUUGUUUGCCUCUGAAUAAAGACUCUUUCACUGUUGACUUGUUAAGUUACUUUUUAUUCAGGUUUGUUUUUUACAAUUCCCCUUUCACUCUGCUGGAUGGUUUAAAGAGGGGUUUGUUUUCUGUUAAUUUGAUUUAAGGUCGAGAUGGGGGGGCUGCUAAAUUUUAAAGUAAACCUAAAACUUUAUCCUAAUGUUAAUUAUUCUUUUAAUCCAAAUGAUUGUUAAUACACGAGUCAUUCAAUAUUAGUUAAGACUAAAUAUUUUUCCUCAGGGUUGAGGAGAUUCAAAAGAGGGAAUGGUAAAAUUGUCAUGCCUAUAACAACCUAGACCAUUCAUUCA